GCACAGCAUCGCAUGAUGCAGUGUGAAAAACUCCGGUGGUAUGAGAUGGGCCCGCGUCAGAUUAGCCAGUUGGCAGGGUAACGGCCUACCAAAGCGACGAUCUGUAGCCGGCCUGAGAGGGCGGACGGCCACAUUGGGACUGAGACACGGCCCAAACUCCUACGGGAGGCAGCAGUGGGGGAUAUUGCACAAUGGAGGAAACUCUGAUGCAGCGACGCCGCGUGAGUGAAGAAGUAUUUCGGUAUGUAAAGCUCUAUCAGCAGGGAAGAAAGGCUCGAAAGAGAGAUGACGGUACCUGACUAAGAAGCCCCGGCUAACUACGUGCCAGCAGCCGCGGUAAUACGUAGGGGGCAAGCGUUAUCCGGAUUUACUGGGUGUAAAGGGAGCGCAGACGGAUGUGCAAGUCUGAAGUGAAACCCCACGGCUCAACCGUGGGCUUGCUUUGGAAACUGUAUAUCUAGAGUACUGGAGAGGUAAGCGGAAUUCCUAGUGUAGCGGUGAAAUGCGUAGAUAUUAGGAGGAACAUCGGUGGCGAAGGCGGCUUACUGGACAGCAACUGACGUUGAGGCUCGAAGGCGUG
Molecule: ribosomal RNA, 580 nt
Filed under: uncultured rumen bacterium
Lineage: Bacteria
Description: bacterial SSU rRNA
Rfam family: Bacterial small subunit ribosomal RNA
Source: RNAcentral